This 500-nucleotide long non-coding RNA is filed under the name Homo sapiens (human). Its description in RNAcentral is "HSALNT0008892". Lineage: Eukaryota; Metazoa; Chordata; Mammalia; Primates; Hominidae. The record is from RNAcentral.
CUUAGAUUUAUAUAGUGCUUUAUCACACAUGCAGCCAGGCAACUCCAGGCAUUUUUCUAAAAUGGAAAGCAUUUCCUUUUAGGCCUCUAAAAAAAUCCUUAUUAAACAACAACAACACCAAAGACUAACUUGAAGAUGUAAAUGAAUAGGAGGAAAAGUGUGUUUUUAUUCUAAAUUAAGGCUGUAGGUAUACCACAAAGUGAUGGCAUCCACGGCCGUAUGGAUUGGCUGCUGAGAAGACACCACUGCAGUGGGGGAGGCACAACCUGGGCUGUGCACUCUGCGGAGCCCACAGGAGCUGGAAACAGAAACACUACUUGCUGCUGCUAGGUCAGAAACAGAAAACUGGAAAUAUCUCAGAUACAGCUUGGCUGAAGCAAUAGAGAAAAAAAUUCCUAUGAAGUAGAGAGAGAGAAAAGAGAGGUGUUUUGUCAGUUGCUCAAUCCUAUACCAUCAUAACUGACAGCUCCACAACAGUGGUAGAGCCCAUUCAUUCCAAG